RNAcentral lists this ribosomal RNA (358 nucleotides) under uncultured bacterium. Its description in RNAcentral is "bacterial SSU rRNA". It matches the Rfam family "Bacterial small subunit ribosomal RNA", at positions 32 to 359 of the family's 1533-position model. The record is from RNAcentral.
AAUCAACGCUGGCGGCGUGCCUCAGACAUGCAAGUCGAACGCGAAAAUUUCCCUUCGGGGAGAAAGUGGAGUGGCGCACGGGUGAGUAACACGUAGGUAAUUUGCCUUUGGGUGGGGAAUAACUCAGGGAAACUUGAGCUAAUACCGCAUAAUGCAGCGGCUCGACAUCGAGACAGUUGUUAAAGCGGGGGAGUUGGAGCAAUCCGACCUCCGCGCCUAAAGAAGAAGCCUGCGGCAGAUUAGCUAGUUGGUAAGGUAAUGGCUUACCAAGGCGACGAUCUGUAACCGGCCUGAGAGGGCGGUCGGUCACACUGACACUGACACACGGGUCAGACUCCUACGGGAGGCAGCAGUCGGG